Molecule: ribosomal RNA, 549 nt
Filed under: uncultured bacterium
Lineage: Bacteria
Description: bacterial SSU rRNA
Rfam family: Bacterial small subunit ribosomal RNA
Source: RNAcentral
UGGGGAAUUUUGGACAAUGGGCGCAAGCCUGAUCCAGCCAUGCCGCGUGUCUGAAGAAGGCCUUCGGGUUGUAAAGGACUUUUGUCAGGGAAGAAAAGGCUGUUGCUAAUACCGACAGUUGAUGACGGUACCUGAAGAAUAAGCACCGGCUAACUACGUGCCAGCAGCCGCGGUAAUACGUAGGGUGCGAGCGUUAAUCGGAAUUACUGGGCGUAAAGCGAGCGCAGACGGUUACUUAAGCAGGAUGUGAAAUCCCCGGGCUCAACCUGGGAACUGCGUUCUGAACUGGGUGACUAGGGUGUGUCAGAGGGAGGUAGAAUUCCACGUGUAGCAGUGAAAUGCGUAGAGAUGUGGAGGAAUACCGAUGGCGAAGGCAGCCUCCUGGGAUAACACUGACGUUCAUGCUCGAAAGCGUGGGUAGCAAACAGGAUUAGAUACCCUGGUAGUCCACGCCCUAAACGAUGUCAAUUAGCUGUUGGGCAACUUGAUUGCUUAGUAGCGUAGCUAACGCGUGAAAUUGACCGCCUGGGGAGUACGGUCGCAAGAUUA